Molecule: ribosomal RNA, 492 nt
Filed under: uncultured bacterium
Lineage: Bacteria
Description: partial 16S ribosomal RNA
Rfam family: Bacterial small subunit ribosomal RNA
Source: RNAcentral
AGUGAACGCUGGCGGUAGGCCUAACACAUGCAAGUCGAACGGCAGCACAGUAAGAGCUUGCUCUUACGGGUGGCGAGUGGCGGACGGGUGAGGAAUACAUCGGAAUCUACUUUUUCGUGGGGGAUCACGUAGGGAAACUUACGCUAAUACCGCAUACGACCUUCGGGUGAAAGCAGGGGAUCUUCGGACCUUGCGCGAUUGAAUGAGCCGAUGUCGGAUUAGCUAGUUGGCGGGGUAAAGGCCCACCAAGGCGACGAUCCGUAGCUGGUCUGAGAGGAUGAUCAGCCACACUGGAACUGAGACACGGUCCAGACUCCUACGGGAGGCAGCAGUGGGGAAUAUUGGACAAUGGGCGCAAGCCUGAUCCAGCCAUACCGCGUGGGUGAAGAAGGCCUUCGGGUUGUAAAGCCCUUUUGUUGGGAAGGAAAAGCAGCAGGUUAAUACCCCGCUGUUCUGACGGUACCCAAAGAAUAAGCACCGGCUAACUUCGUG